UAGGGAAUCUUCGGCAAUGGACGAAAGUCUGACCGAGCAACGCCGCGUGAGUGAAGAAGGUUUUCGGAUCGUAAAACUCUGUUGUUAGAGAAGAACAAGGACGUUAGUAACUGAACGUCCCCUGACGGUAUCUAACCAGAAAGCCACGGCUAACUACGUGCCAGCAGCCGCGGUAAUACGUAGGUGGCAAGCGUUGUCCGGAUUUAUUGGGCGUAACGCGAGCGCAGGCGGUUUCUUAAGUCUGAUGUGAAAGCCCCCGGCUCAACCGGGGAGGGUCAUUGGAAACUGGGAGACUUGAGUGCAGAAGAGGAGAGUGGAAUUCCAUGUGGAGCGGUGAAAUGCGUAGAUAUAUGGAGAAACACAAGUGGCGAAGGCGGCUCUCUGGUCUGUAACUGACGCUGAGGCUCGAAAGCGUGGGGAGCAAACAGG
RNAcentral lists this ribosomal RNA (429 nucleotides) under Gemmatimonadota bacterium. RNAcentral's name for it is "Gemmatimonadetes bacterium partial 16S ribosomal RNA". It matches the Rfam family "Bacterial small subunit ribosomal RNA", at positions 355 to 776 of the family's 1533-position model. Lineage: Bacteria; Pseudomonadati; Gemmatimonadota. The record is from RNAcentral.